Molecule: ribosomal RNA, 397 nt
Filed under: uncultured bacterium
Lineage: Bacteria
Description: bacterial SSU rRNA
Rfam family: Bacterial small subunit ribosomal RNA
Source: RNAcentral
GAUGAACGCUGGCGGCGUGCUUAACACAUGCAAGUCGAGCGGUAAGGCCCUUUCGGGGGUACACGAGCGGCGAACGGGUGAGUAACACGUGGGUGACCUGCCCUCAGCUCUGGGAUAAGCCUGGGAAACCGGGUCUAAUACUGGAUAUGACUCCAUGACGCAUGUUGUGGGGUGGAAAGCCUUGUGCGGCUGAGGAUGGGCCCGCGGCCUAUCAGCUUGUUGGUGGGGUGAUGGCCUACCAAGGCGACGACGGGUAGCCGGCCUGAGAGGGCGACCGGCCACACUGGGACUGAGACACGGCCCAGACUCCUACGGGAGGCAGCAGUGGGGAAUCUUGCGCAAUGGGCGAAAGCCUGACGCAGCGACGCCGCGUGAGGGAUGACGGCCUCGGUUGUAA